Molecule: ribosomal RNA, 468 nt
Filed under: uncultured bacterium
Lineage: Bacteria
Description: partial 16S ribosomal RNA
Rfam family: Bacterial small subunit ribosomal RNA
Source: RNAcentral
GACGAACGCUGGCGGCGUGCUUAACACAUGCAAGUCGAACGGAAAGGCCCUGCUUUUGUGGGGUGCUCGAGUGGCGAACGGGUGAGUAACACGUGAGUAACCUGCCCUUGACUUUGGGAUAACUUCAGGAAACUGGGGCUAAUACCGGAUAGGAGCUCCUGCUGCAUGGUGGGGGUUGGAAAGUUUCGGCGGUUGGGGAUGGACUCGCGGCUUAUCAGCUUGUUGGUGGGGUAGUGGCUUACCAAGGCUUUGACGGGUAGCCGGCCUGAGAGGGUGACCGGCCACAUGGGGACUGAGAUACGGCCCAGACUCCUACGGGAGGCAGCAGGGGGGAAUAUUGCACAAUGGGCGGAAGCGUGAUGCAGCAACGCCGCGUGCGGGAUGACGGCCUUCGGGUUGUAAACCGCUUUCGCCUGUGACGAAGCGUGAGUGACGGUAAUGGGUAAAGAAGCACCGGCUAACUACGUG